GCCCAGUGACAUUAGUUAAACGGCCGCGGUAUCCUGACCGUGCAAAGGUAGCAUAAUCAUUUGUUCCUUAAAUAGGGACUUGUAUGAAUGGCCACACGAGGGCUUUACUGUCUCUUACUUCUGAUCCGUGAAAUUGACCUUCCCGUGAAGAGGCGGGAAUAUGACAAUAAGACGAGAAGACCCUAUGGAGCUUUAAUUAACUGACCCAAAGAGAUCUUGAUAAUCAACCAACAGGGAUAACAAACCUCUACCAUGGGUCGACAAUUUAGGUUGGGGUGACCUCGGAGAAUAAAACAACCUCCGAGUGAUUUAAAUCUAGACUAACCAGUCGAAAAUAUUACAUCACUUAUUGAUCCAAAAACUUGAUCAACGGAACAAGUUACCCUAGGGAUAACAGCGCAAUCCUAUUUUAGAGUCCAUAUCGACAAUAGGGUUUACGACCUCGAUGUUGGAUCAGGACAUCCCGAUGGUGCAGCAGCUA
Molecule: ribosomal RNA, 481 nt
Filed under: Panthera leo (lion)
Lineage: Eukaryota; Metazoa; Chordata; Mammalia; Carnivora; Felidae
Description: partial large subunit ribosomal RNA
Rfam family: Bacterial large subunit ribosomal RNA
Source: RNAcentral